CCAGACUCCUACGGGAGGCAGCAGUGAGGAAUAUUGGUCAAUGGUCGGGAGACUGAACCAGCCAAGCCGCGUGAGGGAGGAAGGUACAGAGUAUCGUAAACCUCUUUUGUCAGGGAACAAAGACUGGGACGCGUCCCCGGAUGAGUGUACCUGAAGAAAAAGCAUCGGCUAACUCCGUGCCAGCAGCCGCGGUAAUACGGAGGAUGCGAGCGUUAUCCGGAUUUAUUGGGUGUAAAGGGUGCGUAGACGGGUAUAUAAGUUAGUUGUGAAAUCCCUCGGCUCAACUGAGGAACUGCAACUAAAACUGUAAAUCUUGAGUGCGGGAGAGGAAAGUGGAAUUCCUAGUGUAGCGGUGAAAUGCGUAGAUAUUAGGAGGAACACCAGUGGCGAAGGCGACUUUCUGGACCGUAACUGACGUUGAGGCACGAAAGUGUGGGGAGCAAACAGGAUUAGAUACCCCGGUAG
RNAcentral lists this ribosomal RNA (465 nucleotides) under uncultured bacterium. RNAcentral describes it as "bacterial SSU rRNA". It matches the Rfam family "Bacterial small subunit ribosomal RNA", at positions 331 to 793 of the family's 1533-position model. The record is from RNAcentral.